RNAcentral lists this ribosomal RNA (780 nucleotides) under uncultured bacterium. RNAcentral's name for it is "bacterial SSU rRNA". It matches the Rfam family "Bacterial small subunit ribosomal RNA", at positions 1 to 761 of the family's 1533-position model. The record is from RNAcentral.
AACGCGCGAUCGCCUUGAGUUUGAUCUGGCUCAGGACGAACGCUGGCGGCGCGCUUAACACAUGCAAGUCGAGCGAGAACCAGGGCUUCGGCCCUGGGGACAGCGGCGAACGGGUGAGUAACACGUGAGUAAUCUGCCCUCGACACUGGGAUAGCCCGGGGAAACCCGGAUUAAUACCGGAUAGCCUUUCGAGCUCUCGGGCUCGUCAGAAAAGAUGGCUUCGGCUUUCGGUUGAGGAUGAGCUUGCGGCGGAUUAGCUUGUUGGUGGGGUAACGGCUCACCAAGGCAACAAUCCGUAGCUGGUCUGAGAGGACGAUCAGCCACACUGGGACUGAGACACGGCCCAGACUCCUACGGGAGGCAGCAGUGGGGAAUCUUGCGCAAUGAGCGAAAGCUUGACGCAGCGACGCCGCGUGAGGGAAGAAGGCCUUCGGGUUGUAAACCUCUUUCAGGAGGGACGAAGCCACUCGGGUUAAUACCCCAGAGGGUGACGGUACCUCCAGAAGAAGCCCCGGCUAACUACGUGCCAGCAGCCGCGGUAAUACGUAGGGGGCAAGCGUUGUCCGGAAUUAUUGGGCGUAAAGAGCGUGUAGGCGGCCAGGUAGGUCUGCUGUGAAAACUCGAGGCUCAACCUCGAGCUGUCGGCGGAAACCAUCUGGCUAGAGUCCGGAAGAGGAGAAUGGAAUUCCUGGUGUAGCGGUGAAAUGCGCAGAUAUCAGGAAGAACACCCGUGGCGAAGGCGGUUCUCUGGGACGGUACUGACGCUGAGACGCGAAAGCG